UCCCAAGUAGCUGGGACUACAGGUGGCAUACCUGGCUAAUUAUUGUCUUUUUAGUAGAGAUGGAGUUUCGCCAUGUCGCCCGGGCUGUCCUCAAAUUCCUGGCCUCAAGUGAUCCGCCCACCUCAGCCUCCCAAAGUGCUGGGAUUACAGGGGUGAACCACUGUGCCCAGCCUGGCACCGUAUUUCUCAGCCUUUUGCUUAUGUGUAUUUCAGUCUCCACCUUUAGACUGUGAGACCCUAAAGGCAGAAAAAGGGUCAUGUACAUGUCAUGCCCCGUGGUGGCUGGUGCCCAGUCCAUACAUGCAGAUUUUAAAUAAUUCAGUGGAGUUGUCUGAGGGGGUAACUGAGGGCCAGACGAGAAAAGAAUUGCCCCAGGUCAUGAGGCAAGGUCCACAGCGCAUCUAAUCCCAGCAGGGAUGGCAAGUGCAGUUUUCAUUUCAGAGAAGCAGCCCAUACGUGUUUAGUGUAAGUGGCAAGCAGACUUGUAGGGCAGUCCCAUGACUCUUGUUUCUGGCCGUUACUAGUGCGAUUGUUAUGUCAUGUGACAAAAGAGAGAUGACCCGGAGGAGCCUACUAUGAUCUCAGGAAUCCUUCAAGAGCAGUUUUCUUUGGCCGGGGUGGAGGGGAAGUCAGAGAUGAGAAACGUGCUUUUGGAGAUAGCUUGGAGACACCUGGCCAGGAAUGUGGAUGGCCUCUGAAGCUGAGAACAGCCUCAGCUGAGAGGCAGCAAGCAAAGAGGGACCUCAGCCCUCCAACCACAAGAAAAUGAAUCCAGCCAGCAACCUGAAUGAGCUGGGAGCCGACACAUCCCAGAGCCUCCAGAAAGGAGCGCAGCCCCUGGACAUCUCUACUGCAGCCUGUGAGACUCUCCGCGGAGGACGCGGCUGAGCCAUGCUGACGUGCAGAACUUCCAGCUAUGGAAUUUGUGUUUAGGCUGUUCGGUUUGUGGUCAUUUGUUACAGAGCAAUAGAAAAAUAAUACAGUGAGUAUGUCUCAAAUAUCGCACAGGACAUGGACUGAAAAAGCAUCAGUCAAAUUUAACUGGGUCUUCUGUCAUUUUGUCUGCUAAAUCUGGCAACUUAAAUCCCAGGUAAGGCACGGACAGAGUCGGUGGGGCAUAGACUCACUCAAGAUGUCCCCAACUGGCACAGCGUUCCCCACACUGGAAGUGGUUUGCACACUCCCUCCAACCAGACAAAAAAGAGAGGGUUUCCAACGAACCCACCCAAUAGCUGCACACAAAUUGUAGCAACUUUCCUCACCUGGAGCCCAUAGAUAGAGUUCAGGGGUCUGUGACCUCAGAUGGGAAAAUCCGUACACCUUCAUUUUCACUACUGUCUAACUUAAAUAUUUCCUUCAAUUAAGAAUAUAGGCAUCAUGCCCCGUGGUGGCUGGUGCCCAGUCCAUACAUGCAGAUUUUAAAUAAUUCAGUGGAGUUGUCUGAGGGGGUAACUGAGGGCCAGACGAGAAAAGAAUUGCCCCAGGUCAUGAGGCAAGGUCCACAGCGCAUCUAAUCCCAGCAGGGAUGGCAAGUGCAGUUUUCAUUUCAGAGAAGCAGCCCAUACGUGUUUAGUGUAAGUGGCAAGCAGACUUGUAGGGCAGUCCCAUGACUCUUGUUUCUGGCCGUUACUAGUGCGAUUGUUAUGUC
RNAcentral lists this long non-coding RNA (1648 nucleotides) under Homo sapiens (human). RNAcentral's name for it is "non-protein coding lnc-FAM118B-2:2". Lineage: Eukaryota; Metazoa; Chordata; Mammalia; Primates; Hominidae. The record is from RNAcentral.